CCAAGUGUUGGUGACAGACUGACAGCCAAGAUCUGCCAGGUAGUGAUAGAGUCUUUCAGGAAGAUCGGUUUUUCCUUGUCUGUAAAUGUU
Long non-coding RNA from Sinocyclocheilus rhinocerous, 90 nucleotides. RefSeq lists it as uncharacterized. The transcript is spliced from 3 exons. The record is from RefSeq and is a predicted model, not a curated record. Lineage: Eukaryota; Metazoa; Chordata; Actinopteri; Cypriniformes; Cyprinidae.